This 444-nucleotide long non-coding RNA is filed under the name Hordeum vulgare. Its description in RNAcentral is "long non-coding RNA (HVUL_LNC001612)". The record is from RNAcentral. Lineage: Eukaryota; Viridiplantae; Streptophyta; Magnoliopsida; Poales; Poaceae.
UAUGAAUUAUCGUUGGAGAUGCCCUUAUAAAAUUCUGUUUAGGUAAAUAUGUUGCUCCCAAGCUAUCUUAAUAAAAUAUGAUCCUACGGCCACAAAGCCGGCAAACGCACGGUCGUUAUCACUCGGUUGAUUUGAAUCAUUUUCCUAUAAUAGACCGUUGCUAAAAUCAUGCUGGCUUAGGAAGAAAAAAUCAAAUAUAAACUUUUUAAUAUUAUAAUCCUCAUUUUUGGGGUCUAAUCCUUUCUAGUUUCUACAAAGACUUGUGGAAUCAAAUAGACCUUCAGGCACGUGGCAUGCGCGGUUGAGUAUCUAGCAGCUGCUUCCGUUCCUGCAAAAUCCAAGUAAGUGAAACGCACAUAAAUUAUCUGAAGAUUCCAACCCCUUCCAAAAUUCCCAUGAGUCUGAAUAUACAGGACCGAGGUCGGCUGUCUGGGCGAGUGGGUG